AAACAAAUGGUACAAUGUGUCAGGAAAUCCCUAGCAGGGAAUGUCGCUUCUGUAGUAUGUGUGCAACGUAUCCUGCUAGACGGUCACCUGUUUUACAGCUUGAUGUUAUUCAGAAUGUGUAUCACUGCCUGUAGAUUCCAGUCAUGAUGUCAUUAUGAGAAAUGAUUAUUAUAACAAUGACUUCAUUCUUAAUUAUAUCAUCAACACAUGCAAUCCAUAAGACGAAUUCUAUAUCCAGAGCUUCAAGUAAAUGGUUGAUUCUUCCUGUGUGUGUUGUUUGGGAUGUGUGUGGGUGUGGUGGCGUGUGUUUGGGUGUGUGCGUGUGUGUGCGUGUGUGUGUGUGUGGUGUGUGUGCAUGUGUAUGUGCACUCUCGCCGUUGUACAUUCUACAGGGCUAGGUGAGCUUCUGAAGAUCUCUACUGGAUAGUGUUUAGCAGUUGAGAUUGGUGAAAGUGACCAGCACUGGACAGGGAUCAUUUCAAGCAGCUACUGCACGGGACAACAUGCCAAACUAGAGUGUGCCCAUUCAUCCCAAGCUCAUGACCGGGAUCCUACCUCUGCCAGUAUUUUGCAUUAUGUUACUGUUAUAGACUGCAUUUACAUGCCGUCGCUGCAUUCUUCUCUCUCGCUGCUUCUUCGUACGACAUUAUCUCCAUUCGCGCAUGUCUACGGUAUUCUCUCAUCAUGGCUGCUGGCCCUUACCUGGUUGCUCUGGGCAUGCUCGGGCCAUUCUCUUGUUUACCUUCGUAAUGAUAACUACCAACCAUAAUUA
Long non-coding RNA from Sycon ciliatum, 772 nucleotides. RefSeq lists it as uncharacterized. The record is from RefSeq and is a predicted model, not a curated record. The transcript is spliced from 2 exons. NCBI's taxonomy places the organism in Eukaryota, Metazoa, Porifera, Calcarea, Leucosolenida, Sycettidae.